Pelodiscus sinensis (Chinese soft-shelled turtle) is the source of this 643-nucleotide long non-coding RNA. RefSeq lists it as uncharacterized. The record is from RefSeq and is a predicted model, not a curated record. Lineage: Eukaryota; Metazoa; Chordata; Testudines; Trionychidae.
GUAUGCCUAGAGAUCUAGUUAUAGAUCAAGGGAAGGCGAGCAAAUGGUCCUGGAUCUGAUAGUCCACCUCACAGUCUUCUCAAAAUCAUUUAAGAAGUACCUAAACAGUGGGGAAUUAAGUUUGAGUUUUCCUUUGUGUAUGGAGUGGACCCAAACCUACGCAGAUUUGGUUUAUGGGCAUGGGAACACGAGAUUAAAAGAGAAACUUGACAGUCCGUUGGAAAAAAACAACAACAACCGUGUAUUGAACACAAUGAAGUGAAUCGCUUUGCAGAAGGCAAACGCUCAGACAUUUGAUUAGAAAGUUUACGCAAAAUGUGUCUAAGAGCAAAACCGCGAACAGCUGGGAUGAAUUGCACAGCCAUGCAGAAUAUGGGGCUAUGAAGUUUGAAUCCCUGAUAAUUACAUGAGUGAGUAAAAAUUGCUGAACACGUUUUCUUUACAUCUUUUUAAUGAUGAUAGCUAUGAAAAUGGUCACCCCCCGAAGUAUGUCGCAAGAAUGUUUUCCCCGAACGUGGUGAUGUCUGGCGCAGAUCUCUGAGAGACAGUUCAAUUUAGUAUUCUUGUGGCUAACCUGUCCUAUAUUUUGGCUGUCGUCAUUUUUUUGUGUGUGAAAGAAAAAAAAUAAACUCACUAACUGAAA